AUCUAACUACUAAGGGAGUAGGAUGGAUGCCUCGGCACCGGGAAGCGAUGAAGGACGUGGCAGGCUGCGAUAAGCCCCGGGGAGCCGCCUAGCAGGCUGUGAUCCGGGGAUCUCCGAAUGGGGUAACCUGGUGCGGGUAAUACCGCAUCACCUGCAUCUGAACACAUAGGGUGCAGGGGCGAACCGGGGGAAUUGAAACAUCUUAGUACCCCGAGGAAAAGAAAGCAACAGCGAUUCCCUGAGUAGCGGCGAGCGAAAGGGGAACAGCCCAAACCAGGUGGGUGUUAAAGCCCGCAGGCGUUGCCCAUCUGGGGUUGCAGGUCUGAUUCUUCCCGAGCUGCGGUGAGGGAGGAAAGUUUUUCUCUAUAGGGGAAAGGCACUGGAAAGGCCUGCCAGAGAGGGUAAUAGCCCCGUACCCGAAAUAGAGGAAAACUUUCCGCGGAUCAGACCUGAGUACCAUCGGACACGAGGAAUCCGGUGGGAAGCCGGGAGGAUCACCUCCCAAGGCUAAAUAUUCCCCGGUGACCGAUAGUGAACAAGUACCGUGAGGGAAAGGUGAAAAGAACCCCGAAAGGGGAGUGAAAUAGAGCCUGAAAUCCUACUCCUACAAGCUGUGGGAGCCCAUUCCCGGAAAUUAAUUUUUCGGGAAGGGUGACCGCGUACCUUUUGCAUAAUGGGCCGGUGAGUUACUUGGAGCAGCAAGGUUAAGGGGUAUUAAGCCCCGGAGCCGUAGCGAAAGCGAGUCCUAACCGGGCGUCAAGUUGCUCUAAGUAGACCCGAAACCGGGUGAUCUACCCGAGGCCAGGGUGAAGUGCACUUAACCGUGCAUGGAGGCCCGCACGCACCUACGUUGAAAAGUGGGGCGAUGAGCUUCGGGUAGGGGUGAAAGGCCAAUCAAACCCGGCGAUAGCUGGUUCUCCCCGAAAUAGCUUUAGGGCUAGCCUCGUGCAUGGAUGGUGGGGGUAGAGCACUGGAUGAGAUGAGGGUCCUCGUGGCUCUCAUACUCAACCAAACUCCGAAUACCACCAUUCCUGAGCACGGGAGUCAGACCGUGGGGGAUAAGCUCCAUGGUCGAGAGGGGAACAGCCCAGACCGCCAGCUAAGGUCUCUAAUGCAGGCUAAGUGGUAAAGGAUGUGGGGUCGCUGAGAUAGCCAGGAGGUUGGCUUAGAAGCAGCCAUCCUUUAAAGAGUGCGUAACAGCUCACUGGGUUA
RNAcentral lists this ribosomal RNA (1212 nucleotides) under Candidatus Caldatribacterium oleiphilum. RNAcentral describes it as "partial 23S ribosomal RNA". It matches the Rfam family "Bacterial large subunit ribosomal RNA", at positions 1 to 1152 of the family's 2925-position model. The record is from RNAcentral. Lineage: Bacteria; Pseudomonadati; Atribacterota; Atribacteria; Atribacterales; Candidatus Caldatribacteriaceae.